This 505-nucleotide long non-coding RNA is filed under the name Brassica napus (rape). RNAcentral describes it as "long non-coding RNA (BNAP_LNC020512)". Lineage: Eukaryota; Viridiplantae; Streptophyta; Magnoliopsida; Brassicales; Brassicaceae. The record is from RNAcentral.
ACUAGUUGUAGAACCAAAAAUCUACACUAUGUAUUUGAUAGUGAUCGGGGUUUGAUCUAGGGAAGACAAAUGAUGUAGGCAACAAUAUCUUUAGAACACAACGAUGUUAAACAGUUUCCAGUAGGUAAAAAUGGACUUUAUUAAUGAAUAAGAUCGAAUACAAAGAGUUGAACUAGAUCGAGUGAUACAAACGAGAUCCGUAAUGAAAGAGUCUAAGAUCGGGAGGAAAACAAGGUCGAUGUAAGUGUGUAGCUCUCUCUAGGGUUUUCAAUGUGUCCUUCUUAAUGUCUCUUCUCCUUUCUUUAUUGUAAGUUGACUUCGUGAUCUCCGUAGCUUCUCCGCGAUCUCCGGGGCCUCGACUCCUUUGCUUUUCGAGCUCGAUUGCUUGUUAUGGGCUUCGGUUCCUUGCGGCCCAUAACUCUUAUCGCGGCCCAUUGAUGUAUUGACCGGAAUUGGGUCCAACACUUGUCCCCUAGCCUUUUGGUUUAUUUGGGAAACCGAAGGG